Long non-coding RNA from Mangifera indica (mango), 1114 nucleotides. RefSeq lists it as uncharacterized. The transcript has 3 exons. Lineage: Eukaryota; Viridiplantae; Streptophyta; Magnoliopsida; Sapindales; Anacardiaceae. The record is from RefSeq and is a predicted model, not a curated record.
CGGGUUUUAAGACGACUUGGCAUUGCCAAGUCUCUCUCUUCUCUAUAAAAGCCAGAUUCAUUUUCAUUGUAUAUCUCAACCAACACUAGAGUUCUUACCCUGUACGUUUCUUCUCUCAUUUUCCUCUUUCACAACUCAUGAAUUUUUAUCUCAGAUUCUGUCAUUUCUUCGAAGAAGAAUACCAUCAGGAUAUAUAUAAUUGGGAAGAAGAAGCUAAGGCUGGCCGUCCAUUAAUGGUGGAUGAGAAAAUGUUGACAGAAGAGAGAGAGCACAACCCACCAUUGGCUGAAGAAUGUCUUAGCUUUUGUUGGGAGUGUGCUUUCUCUUCUUCUGUCAUCAUCAUCAUCUCCUCCUUCUAUAUAUGUGACAUAAUUUCAAGUCAAAUAUGAAAAUAUGGACAUCCAUUGAUAGACAGAAGUGGAAAAUUGAAUACCUUGGCUCUCUUUUGACUGCUGCAGCAUGUGAAGCACCACAAGUAUCAAUUACUUGGCUUCGGGUUUGGCAUUAAAGGCUGUUGAUGCCAAAAAUCGCAUGCUGAAUUCAAUAUAAAAAAGGUCAAAGCGGAUAAUACUUUACAGUUUUAAGUGGUUUGUUACGUGUGGAUCAACACAACAUCAAACAGUGGCCCUGUUUUCUGGGGACGAUGGUGCUCUCCCCAAGCCUGUCGACUAGGGGCUGUAUUGAUGCUGCAAAUUACACAUCAAACAGAGUCAAGGCAUGCUAGUGAAGGCCAAAAUAGACAAUAACUCCAGCUUUUAAAUGGUUUUAACUGAUUUGCUACGUGUGGAUCGAGGAUCAAGGCAAUGUCAACACAGGACGGCAACAACAACACAGGUGAUAGAGAAUAUAGAUGUUGACUCUGAAAAUUACAUGUUCUAUGUACUUUUGUAGCUACUGAAAUGGUCCCAAUACCUUUUUCUUGGCAAUUUCAGUUUGGCUGUGCUCUGAUCCUUGCAGUUGCAGACCACAGUGAACCUGAUGGAGAAUGUUCUGCCAUUUUUUGGGUUUCUUUUUCGGGAUUGUUUGGUCAUCUGGAAAGAUGAAGCUCUGAUUGUUAGUCAGUGUCUAUCUAUAGUUUUUUUAAUGGAAAGAAAGCUCUGCAUUUCUUAGAGAA